UGCCAGCAGCCGCGGUAAUACGGAGGGUGCGAGCGUUAAUCGGAAUUACUGGGCGUAAAGCGCGCGUAGGUGGUUUGAUAAGCUAGCUGCGAAAUCCCGGGGCUCAACCCCGGAACUGCCUCCAAAACUGCCAGUCUAGAGUUCGAGAGAGGUGAGUGGAACUCCAAGUGUAGAGGUGAAAUUCGUAGAUAUUUGGAAGAACACCAGUGGCGAAGGCGGCUCGCUGGCUCGAUACUGACGCUGAGGUGCGAAAGUGUGGGGAGCAAACAGGAUUAGAUA
This 279-nucleotide ribosomal RNA is filed under the name uncultured bacterium. RNAcentral's name for it is "partial 16S ribosomal RNA". It matches the Rfam family "Bacterial small subunit ribosomal RNA", at positions 506 to 784 of the family's 1533-position model. The record is from RNAcentral.